RNAcentral lists this ribosomal RNA (388 nucleotides) under uncultured bacterium. RNAcentral describes it as "bacterial SSU rRNA". It matches the Rfam family "Bacterial small subunit ribosomal RNA", at positions 28 to 417 of the family's 1533-position model. The record is from RNAcentral.
GACGAACGCUGGCGGCGUGCUUAACACAUGCAAGUCGAGCGGUAAGGCCCUUUCGGGGGUACACGAGCGGCGAACGGGUGAGUAACACGUGGGUGACCUGCCCUCAGCUCUGGGAUAAGCCUGGGAAACCGGGUCUAAUACCGGAUAUGACUCCAUGACGCAUGUUGUGGGGUGGAAAGCCUUGUGCGGCUGAGGAUGGGCCCGCGGCCUAUCAGCUUGUUGGUGGGGUGAUGGCCUACCAAGGCGACCACGGGUAGCCGGCCUGAGAGGGCGACCGGCCACACUGGGACUGAGACACGGCCCAGACUCCUACGGGAGGCAGCAGUGGGGAAUCUUGCGCAAUGGGCGAAAGCCUGACGCAGCGACGCCGCGUGAGGGAUGACGGCCU